RNAcentral lists this transfer RNA (87 nucleotides) under Methylotuvimicrobium buryatense. RNAcentral describes it as "Methylomicrobium buryatense tRNA-Leu". It matches the Rfam family "tRNA". From Rfam's summary of the family: Transfer RNA (tRNA) molecules are approximately 80 nucleotides in length. Their secondary structure includes four short double-helical elements and three loops (D, anti-codon, and T loops). RNAcentral also lists the same sequence under 2 other names. The record is from RNAcentral. Lineage: Bacteria; Pseudomonadati; Pseudomonadota; Gammaproteobacteria; Methylococcales; Methylococcaceae.
GCCUGGGUGGCGAAAUUGGUAGACGCAAGGGACUUAAAAUCCCUCGCUCGAAAGGGCGUGCCGGUUCGAUUCCGGCCCCAGGCACCA